RNAcentral lists this ribosomal RNA (803 nucleotides) under uncultured bacterium. Its description in RNAcentral is "bacterial SSU rRNA". It matches the Rfam family "Bacterial small subunit ribosomal RNA", at positions 8 to 806 of the family's 1533-position model. The record is from RNAcentral.
AGAGUUUGCUUCUGGCUCAGAUUGAACGCUGGCGGAAUGCUUUACACAUGCAAGUCGAACGAUGAACCUUAGCUUGCUAAGGGGAUUAGUGGCGAACGGGUGAGUAAUAUAUCGGAACGUGCCUUGUAAUGGGGGAUAACUAGUCGAAAGAUUAGCUAAUACCGCAUACGCCCUGAGGGGGAAAGUAGGGGAUCUUCGGACCUUACGUUAUAAGAGCAGCCGAUAUCUGAUUAGCUAGUUGGUGGGGUAAUGGCCUACCAAGGCGACGAUCAGUAGCUGGUCUGAGAGGACGACCAGCCACACUGGAACUGAGACACGGUCCAGACUCCUACGGGAGGCAGCAGUGGGGAAUUUUGGACAAUGGGCGCAAGCCUGAUCCAGCCAUUCCGCGUGAGUGAAGAAGGCCUUCGGGUUGUAAAGCUCUUUCGCAAGGGAAGAAAACUUACUUUCUAAUAAAGAGUGAGGCUGACGGUACCUUGAUAAGAAGCACCGGCUAACUACGUGCCAGCAGCCGCGGUAAUACGUAGGGUGCGAGCGUUAAUCGGAAUUACUGGGCGUAAAGCGUGCGCAGGCGGUUUGGCAAGUCAGAUGUGAAAUCCCCGAGCUCAACUUGGGAACUGCGUUUGAAACUGCCAGACUAGAAUAUGUCAGAGGGGGGUAGAAUUCCACGUGUAGCAGUGAAAUGCGUAGAGAUGUGGAGGAAUACCAAUGGCGAAGGCAGCCCCCUGGGAUAAUAUUGACGCUCAUGCACGAAAGCGUGGGGAGCAAACAAGAGUAGAUACCCUGGUAGUCCACGCCCUAAA